CCCAAAUAAAAUUGAAUUAAUACAUAUAUCACUUUAUUCUCCCCAAUUUUCCAAAAUAUAAAAUUUGGCCUCUGAAAUAAUUAAAGUAUAUUCUAUAAAAUUUUCAGGACGUUACGGUUAUUCUAAUAAACAAAAUCCAGCUUUACAAAGAAGUCUAACAACCUACACAAAUUUGGUUGUUAUCCUAUCAAUAAUAUCAGUCAUACUAACGUACACUAACACCCCUGGCAAACUGAUGGGUAGCAUGCAAAUCAUUAGUUUAGACCUCAAGAACUAAAAUCAUGAGGCUGUAUGCCCUCUAGUAAACACCUUAGCAACUUAGUCUUUUGUAGAAAUAUAACAAACAUAAACAUCUUUCUUCACAACCUUUUCUCUGACAAAAUGAUAAUUCACUUCAAUAUGCUUUGUCCUAGCAUGAAAAACUGGGUUUAUACUAAAGCAAUUUCACCUAUAUUGUCACACCAAAUCACAGGACAUUUAGAAAGAGAAAUCCCCAAUUCACGUAAAAGCAUACGUAUCCAAUAGAGUUCAGCAAUUGCCAGAGCCAGUGAUCGAUAUUCAGCUUCUAUAUUAGAACGAGAUACGACGUUUUUCUUUUUGGUGCUCCAUGAAACCAAUUUUUUGCCUAGAAAAAUGCCAUACCCACUGCUACUGCGUCUGUCAUCCGAAUUUCCUACCUAGUCUGAGUUAUAGAAAGCAUUUAGAUCUAUUAUUAAGGGAGAGUAAUAAAAACCAUUGUCAACUGUCCCUUUUAGAUAUCGAAGAAUACUUUUUAGAGCUAGCCAAUGUCCUUUGAGUGGGUAAUGCAUGAAUUGGCAAAGUUGGUUGACAACAUAAGAAAUGUCUGGUCAUGUAAUAAUGCAAUAUUAAAAUGCACCAACAAUCAUUCUGUAUUCACUAGGUGUAAGUAUUAUGCCCUAG
RNAcentral lists this long non-coding RNA (921 nucleotides) under Olea europaea subsp. europaea. The record is from RNAcentral. Lineage: Eukaryota; Viridiplantae; Streptophyta; Magnoliopsida; Lamiales; Oleaceae.